GGAGGAGGCAAGCGUUGUCCGGAAUCAUUGGGGCGUAAAGAGCGCGUAGGCUGUUUUUCAAGUCAUAUGUGAAAACCUCAGGGCUUAACUUGAGGACUGCAUAUGAAACUGGGAAACUUGAGUGCAGUAGGGGAAAGUGGAAUUCCUGGUGUAGCGGUGAAAUGCGCAGAUAUCAGGAAGAACACCGGUAGCGAAGGCGGCUUUCUGGGCUGCUACUGACGCUGAGGCGCGAAAGCUAGGGGAGCAAACAGGAUUAGAUACCCUGGUAGUCCUAGCUGUAAACGAUGGACACUAGGUGUGGGAAGUUAUCGACGCUUUCCGUGCCGGAGCUAACGCAUUAAGUGUCCCGCCUGGGGAGUACGGUCGCAAGACUA
RNAcentral lists this ribosomal RNA (374 nucleotides) under uncultured organism. Its description in RNAcentral is "partial 16S ribosomal RNA". It matches the Rfam family "Bacterial small subunit ribosomal RNA", at positions 527 to 896 of the family's 1533-position model. The record is from RNAcentral.